Molecule: long non-coding RNA, 725 nt
Organism: Zingiber officinale
Lineage: Eukaryota; Viridiplantae; Streptophyta; Magnoliopsida; Zingiberales; Zingiberaceae
Exons: 2
Source: RefSeq, a predicted model, not a curated record
GGUAUAUUGGCUGGAAGUGCCUCCUCCAUGCAAAAUUACUUUCCAAUGAGAGGAUUCGUUUCCUUCUAAGUUUGGGCUUGGAUAUGAUGAACCAAGCUGUAGAAGGCAUGGAAGUGGUUCAACCUGGUGCUAGAGAGAAUGCCAGCUUUCUGAGAACGACAGAAAAGAGGCAAUUUGAAGCGCAGCAGCAGGCUCCAGCUUAUGACUCAGUCAUGUGAAUGGUGUUGGUGGAGUUCAUAAAAUGAGCUUCAAGGAAUCCAUUGAAGCUUAUGCAAUGGAGCAAGGCUUGCUGUUCAUGCCAAAAGUUGAUAGAUACUACAAUGGUCUUCCAGUGUAUGGAUUUGGCAACAUAAGUAUUUGCAUAGAUUCAGUGAAGAAACUGCUUUAUGCCCAAGUCAAUGAGGGCACUGAACACUGGAGUGCUGUGUCGCUCAGACGGUUAGUGGAGAUGCCCAGAAUGCACACGACAUUGAACAUUGACCUCCCGAUGCUUUAGUGGCUCUUGAUGAGAAUUCAGUUAGCUAUAAUUUUCCGCGUGCUGAUGCAUUUUCAACCACAUGAACAUACAAAUUAGCAGCGGAUGGGGAAUUUGCGGUCUUUAAAUUUCCACCAUAUCUGUAUAAUGGAUGCUGAAUCCAUUAACAACUCCUUUUGUUGUAAAGUUUUUUGUUUGAAUCUUUUCAUUUCAAGGAAAAUCACAUACAGAAUGUGCUGCCUUUCAUCUC